RNAcentral lists this long non-coding RNA (148 nucleotides) under Zonotrichia albicollis (white-throated sparrow). RNAcentral's name for it is "lncRNA (ENSZALG00000009218.1)". Lineage: Eukaryota; Metazoa; Chordata; Aves; Passeriformes; Passerellidae. The record is from RNAcentral.
AUUCCAGGUGGAUUUUAGAGCAGGAUGUUCCCAGCUCCAAAUUCCAGGUGGAUGUUGGAGCAGGAUGGUCCCAGCUCCACAAUCAGGUGGAUUUUAGAGCAGGAUGUUCCCAGCUCCAAAUUCCAGGUGGAUGUUGGACAGGAUUCCA